CAUCCUCCAAGGCUAAAUACUCCUGACUGACCGAUAGUGAACCAGUACCGUGAGGGAAAGGCGAAAAGAACCCCGGCGAGGGGAGUGAAAAAGAACCUGAAACCGUGUACGUACAAGCAGUGGGAGCACGCUUAGGCGUGUGACUGCGUACCUUUUGUAUAAUGGGUCAGCGACUUAUAUUCUGUAGCAAGGUUAACCGAAUAGGGGAGCCGAAGGGAAACCGAGUCUUAACUGGGCGUUAAGUUGCAGGGUAUAGACCCGAAACCCGGUGAUCUAGCCAUGGGCAGGUUGAAGGUUGGGUAACACUAACUGGAGGACCGAACCGACUAAUGUUGAAAAAUUAGCGGAUGACUUGUGGCUGGGGGUGAAAGGCCAAUCAAACCGGGAGAUAGCUGGUUCUCCCCGAAAGCUAUUUAGGUAGCGCCUCGUGAAUUCAUCUCCGGGGGUAGAGCACUGUUUCGGCAAGGGGGUCAUCCCGACUUACCAACCCGAUGCAAACUGCGAAUACCGGAGAAUGUUAUCACGGGAGACACACGGCGGGUGCUAACGUCCGUCGUGAAGAGGGAAACAACCCAGACCGCCAGCUAAGGUCCCAAAGUCAUGGUUAAGUGGGAAACGAUGUGGGAAGGCCCAGACAGCCAGGAUGUUGGCUUAGAAGCAGCCAUCAUUUAAAGAAAGCGUAAUAGCUCACUGGUCGAGUCGGCCUGCGCGGAAGAUGUAACGGGGCUAAACCAUGCACCGAAGCUGCGGCAGCGACGCUGAUGCGUUGUUGGGUAGGGGAGCGUUCUGUAAGCCUGCGAAGGUGUGCUGUGAGGCAUGCUGGAGGUAUCAGAAGUGCGAAUGCUGACAUAAGUAACGAUAAAGCGGGUGAAAAGCCCGCUCGCCGGAAGACCAAGGGUUCCUGUCCAACGUUAAUCGGGGCAGGGUGAGUCGACCCCUAAGGCGAGGCCGAAAGGCGUAGUCGAUGGGAAACAGGUUAAUAUUCCUGUACUUGGUGUUACUGCGAAGGGGGGACGGAGAAGGCUAUGUUGGCCGGGCGACGGUUGUCCCGGUUUAAGCGUGUAGGCUGGUUUUCCAGGCAAAUCCGGAAAAUCAAGGCUGAGGCGUGAUGACGAGGCACUACGGUGCUGAAGCAACAAAUGCCCUGCUUCCAGGAAAAGCCUCUAAGCAUCAGGUAACAUCAAAUCGUACCCCAAACCGACACAGGUGGUCAGGUAGAGAAUACCAAGGCGCUUGAGAGAACUCGGGUGAAGGAACUAGGCAAAAUGGUGCCGUAACUUCGGGAGAAGGCACGCUGAUAUGUAGGUGAAGUCCCUCGCGGAUGGAGCUGAAAUCAGUCGAAGAUACCAGCUGGCUGCAACUGUUUAUUAAAAACACAGCACUGUGCAAACACGAAAGUGGACGUAUACGGUGUGACGCCUGCCCGGUGCCGGAAGGUUAAUUGAUGGGGUUAGCGCAAGCGAAGCUCUUGAUCGAAGCCCCGGUAAACGGCGGCCGUAACUAUAACGGUCCUAAGGUAGCGAAAUUCCUUGUCGGGUAAGUUCCGACCUGCACGAAUGGCGUAAUGAUGGCCAGGCUGUCUCCACCCGAGACUCAGUGAAAUUGAACUCGCUGUGAAGAUGCAGUGUACCCGCGGCAAGACGGAAAGACCCCGUGAACCUUUACUAUAGCUUGACACUGAACAUUGAGCCUUGAUGUGUAGGAUAGGUGGGAGGCUUUGAAGUGUGGACGCCAGUCUGCAUGGAGCCGACCUUGAAAUACCACCCUUUAAUGUUUGAUGUUCUAACGUGGACCCGUAAUCCGGGUUGCGGACAGUGUCUGGUGGGUAGUUUGACUGGGGCGGUCUCCUCCUAAAGAGUAACGGAGGAGCACGAAGGUUGGCUAAUCCUGGUCGGACAUCAGGAGGUUAGUGCAAUGGCAUAAGCCAGCUUGACUGCGAGCGUGACGGCGCGAGCAGGUGCGAAAGCAGGUCAUAGUGAUCCGGUGGUUCUGAAUGGAAGGGCCAUCGCUCAACGGAUAAAAGGUACUCCGGGGAUAACAGGCUGAUACCGCCCAAGAGUUCAUAUCGACGGCGGUGUUUGGCACCUCGAUGUCGGCUCAUCACAUCCUGGGGCUGAAGUAGGUCCCAAGGGUAUGGCUGUUCGCCAUUUAAAGUGGUACGCGAGCUGGGUUUAGAACGUCGUGAGACAGUUCGGUCCCUAUCUGCCGUGGGCGCUGGAGAACUGAGGGGGGCUGCUCCUAGUACGAGAGGACCGGAGUGGACGCAUCACUGGUGUUCGGGUUGUCAUGCCAAUGGCACUGCCCGGUAGCUAAAUGCGGAAGAGAUAAGUGCUGAAAGCAUCUAAGCACGAAACUUGCCCCGAGAUGAGUUCUCCCUGACUCCUUGA
RNAcentral lists this ribosomal RNA (2387 nucleotides) under Escherichia coli. RNAcentral describes it as "bacterial LSU rRNA". It matches the Rfam family "Bacterial large subunit ribosomal RNA", at positions 454 to 2826 of the family's 2925-position model. Lineage: Bacteria; Pseudomonadati; Pseudomonadota; Gammaproteobacteria; Enterobacterales; Enterobacteriaceae. The record is from RNAcentral.